Molecule: small nuclear RNA, 108 nt
Organism: Oryctolagus cuniculus (rabbit)
Lineage: Eukaryota; Metazoa; Chordata; Mammalia; Lagomorpha; Leporidae
Gene: U2
Rfam family: U2 spliceosomal RNA
About the family: U2 is a small nuclear RNA (snRNA) component of the spliceosome (involved in pre-mRNA splicing). Complementary binding between U2 snRNA (in an area lying towards the 5' end but 3' to hairpin I) and the branchpoint sequence (BPS) of the intron results the bulging out of an unpaired adenosine, on the BPS, which initiates a nucleophilic attack at the intronic 5' splice site, thus starting the first of two transesterification reactions that mediate splicing.
Source: Ensembl
ACUCCCACUCGGCCUUUUGGCUAAGAUCAAGUGUAGUAUCUGUUCUUAUCAGAUUUACUCUUUUUAAUGAAGUAUUUUGCCUGCUUUUACCUAUUUGCUGUACAUUUU